Clarias gariepinus (North African catfish) is the source of this 456-nucleotide non-coding RNA. The record is from the annotation of a RefSeq genome assembly. NCBI's taxonomy places the organism in Eukaryota, Metazoa, Chordata, Actinopteri, Siluriformes, Clariidae.
CAUCUCAGAAUAUUUCUCUUUGGUUAAGACCAUUCAUCAUGUUCUCCUUCAUAUACAUGUGUCUGUGGAUUUUACUGGGUGACACCAUGGGAAAUUCAGUAGACCCAUUUUUCACUCAUAAAGCUGUAAAUGAAGGUGAAAAUAUUACUCUGUCCUGCAGAUACAACCCUAGCAUUACUACAGGGAACUACUUGCACUGGUACAGACAAUAUUCAAAAUUGGAACCUGAGUUUCUUCUUUAUAUUUUUCAAAGCGGAACUUUAAGUCUAAACAUUCCCCCAAGAAUGACUGCUAAAAUCGACGAUAAUAAAAAAGAAGUGGAUCUGAUCAUCUCCUCUGCUGCUGUAUCAGACUCUGCACUAUACUACUGUGCUCUGGCGCCCACAGUGACAGAAAAUCCAAUCACACUGUACAAAAUCCCGGGCACAGUUUUUUGAGUUUGAAUAAUGUUUAUGC